UGCAAGUCGAACGGUGAACCAGGAGCUUGCUCUUGGGGAUCAGUGGCGAACGGGUGAGUAACACGUGAGCAACCUGCCCCUGACUCUGGGAUAAGCGCUGGAAACGGCGUCUAAUACUGGAUAUGAACUGGAACCGCAUGGUUACUGGUUGGAAAGAUUUUUCGGUUGGGGAUGGGCUCGCGGCCUAUCAGCUUGUUGGUGAGGUAAUGGCUCACCAAGGCGUCGACGGGUAGCCGGCCUGAGAGGGUGACCGGCCACACUGGGACUGAGACACGGCCCAGACUCCUACGGGAGGCAGCAGUGGGGAAUAUUGCACAAUGGGCGGAAGCCUGAUGCAGCAACGCCGCGUGAGGGACGACGGCCUUCGGGUUGUAAACCUCUUUUAGCAGGGAAGAAGCGAGAGUGACGGUACCUGCAGAAAAAGCGCCGGCUAACUACGUGCCAGCAGCCGCGGUAAUACGUAGGGCGCAAGCGUUAUCCGGAAUUAUUGGGCGUAAAGAGCUCGUAGGCGGUUUGUCGCGUCUGCUGUGAAAUCCCGAGGCUCAACCUCGGGCCUGCAGUGGGUACGGGCAGACUAGAGUGCGGUAGGGGAGAUUGGAAUUCCUGGUGUAGCGGUGGAAUGCGCAGAUAUCAGGAGGAACACCGAUGGCGAAGGCAGAUCUCUGGGCCGUAACUGACGCUGAGGAGCGAAAGGGUGGGGAGCAAACAGGCUUAGAUACCCUGGUAGUCCACCCCGUAAACGUUGGGAACUAGUUGUGGGGUCCAUUCCACGGAUUCCGUGACGCAGCUAACGCAUUAAGUUCCCCGCCUGGGGAGUACGGCCGCAAGGCUAAAACUCAAAGGAAUUGACGGGGACCCGCACAAGCGGCGGAGCAUGCGGAUUAAUUCGAUGCAACGCGAAGAACCUUACCAAGGCUUGACAUAUACGAGAACGGGCCAGAAAUGGUCAACUCUUUGGACACUCGUAAACAGGUGGUGCAUGGUUGUCGUCAGCUCGUGUCGUGAGAUGUUGGGUUAAGUCCCGCAACGAGCGCAACCCUCGUUCUAUGUUGCCAGCACGUAAUGGUGGGAACUCAUGGGAUACUGCCGGGGUCAACUCGGAGGAAGGUGGGGAUGACGUCAAAUCAUCAUGCCCCUUAUGUCUUGGGCUUCACGCAUGCUACAAUGGCCGGUACAAAGGGCUGCAAUACCGUGAGGUGGAGCGAAUCCCAAAAAGCCGGUCCCAGUUCGGAUUGAGGUCUGCAACUCGACCUCAUGAAGUCGGAGUCGCUAGUAAUCGCAGAUCAGCAACGCUGCGGUGAAUACGUUCCCGGGUCUUGUACACACCGCCCGUCAAGUCAUGAAAGUCGGUAACACCUGAAGCCGGUGGCCUAACCCUUGUGGAGGGAGCCGU
Molecule: ribosomal RNA, 1393 nt
Filed under: Microbacterium sp.
Lineage: Bacteria; Bacillati; Actinomycetota; Actinomycetes; Micrococcales; Microbacteriaceae
Description: bacterial SSU rRNA
Rfam family: Bacterial small subunit ribosomal RNA
Source: RNAcentral